UACAGUUCUUGAUAUACUCUAUUGACUUAGUAUGAGCUAAAUACAAUUAGCUUCAUUAUGCACCAAGACAGUGUUAAGUCAGUCUCUGCAGUAAGUCUUGUGGAUAGCACAACAAGCUUACUAUGGUUCUUGACAUAAUAGUGACUUAGUAUGAAAGAAUAGAUGGAUAGUGCUCUUAAUACUUUAUUAUUAAGACUUAAUAUAAUUUAACUGAGGGACUU
RNAcentral lists this long non-coding RNA (221 nucleotides) under Elaeis guineensis (African oil palm). Its description in RNAcentral is "long non-coding RNA (EGUI_LNC048568)". The record is from RNAcentral. Lineage: Eukaryota; Viridiplantae; Streptophyta; Magnoliopsida; Arecales; Arecaceae.